CAGGAUGAACGCUAGCGGCAGGCCUAAUACAUGCAAGUCGAACGGUGAUAGCAAUAUCAUAGUGGCGCACGGGUGCGUAACACGUAUGCAACCUACCUAUUAUUGGGGGAUAGCCUUUGGAAACGGAGAUUAAUACCGCAUAAUACGAUUGACUGGCAUCGGUUGAUUGUUAAAGCUUCGGCGAUAAUAGAUGGGCAUGCGUCCAAUUAGUUAGUUGGUUAGGUAACGGCUGACCAAGACGAUGAUUGGUAGGGGAUCUGAGAGGAUAAUCCCCCACACUGGCACUGAGAUACGGGCCAGACUCCUACGGGAGGCAGCAGUAGGGAAUAUUGGGCAAUGGGCGGAAGCCUGACCCAGCCAUGCCGCGUGCAGGAAGAAGGCGUUACGCGUUGUAAACUGCUUUUUUAUAGGAAGAAGGAUCCCUUGCGAGGGAAGGUGACGGUACUAUAAGAAUAAGCACCGGCUAACUCCGUGCCAGCAGCCGCGGUAAUACGGAGGGUGCAAGCGUUGUCCGGAUUUAUUGGGUUUAAAGGGUGCGUAGGCGGUUUAUUAAGUCAGUGGUGAAAGACGGUCGCUCAACGAUUGCAGUGCCAUUGAUACUGGUAGACUUGAGUGAGAUUGAGGUAGCUGGAAUGGAUAGUGUAGCGGUG
Molecule: ribosomal RNA, 650 nt
Filed under: uncultured bacterium
Lineage: Bacteria
Description: bacterial SSU rRNA
Rfam family: Bacterial small subunit ribosomal RNA
Source: RNAcentral